Molecule: long non-coding RNA, 2950 nt
Filed under: Lactuca sativa (garden lettuce)
Lineage: Eukaryota; Viridiplantae; Streptophyta; Magnoliopsida; Asterales; Asteraceae
Description: long non-coding RNA (LSAT_LNC005929)
Source: RNAcentral
AUGGAUGUUGCACAGAAGUCAAUGGCUGGGACUCUUCAUGAAGCUGGAGAAUCAUCAAAGCAAGCGAUGAAUGAAGAAAGGAAUACCCAACUUCAUAUCGAUUUGGAAAAGCCCAACAAGGAUAGCACCAACAGAUCACUGCAUCAAGCUCUUAAACAUCAACAGUUAUCUGCUAAAUCCACCAGAGAUGAAACCCAUUCAGAAAAGUCAGGUAAUUUACUAUCAAGAAUCUCCAUCCUUUCUACUCCCAAAUUUCAACUCAUCUUGGGUUCUAAUUUGAAGUUUUUGAUCUUCCGUUCUCAGCUCAACCAAGUUCUUUGCCAAUGCCAAUGUCUGUGGCUAACUGGCCUCCAAUGGGGUAAGCUGAAAAAGACAUCAACUUUUUCUUAUUCUUCUUCUUCUUCUUCUUUAUUUCUUUUAAUAGAAAGAACAAAUGUUAAUCAUAUGUGAAUUUGCAGAUAUGUGGCACCAUUGCAGGGAGUGAUAUCCAUGGAUGGAAACACCAUGCCUUCUGCUCCAAUUCAGGUACUUCUCAUUUAAUUUCUUUAGCACCCAAAUCCAACAUUUCUAAAUGAUGCAUUUCUUUUACAGCCAAUAUUCACACAUCCAAGGCCAAAAAGAUGUGCCACACAUUGCUACAUUGCAAGAAACAUUCACUACCUUCAGCAAUUCAUGAAGAUAAAUCCAUUCUGGCCAGCUGCAUCUGGAUCUGCACCCAUGUUUGGGGCCAAACCCUGCAAUCUAAAUGUCAUGCCUUCAACUGAACUCCAUGGAAACAUCACUGGAGGUCAGUUGCAGCCAUUGCAACAAGACAAGGGUCCCGGAAUCGGAAUCUUCACCGGAAAAGACAACAAAUCUUCUCAAUCCACCACCAUUCCUGAUCCUGCUCAGAGAAAGCAACAGGUUUUGCUUCAGCAAGCAUUGCCCCCCGUCACCCCUAAUAAUAUUCUUGUAAGUUGGUUAACUCUAAAAUUUUGACUGUAUAAUGUGUAUGUUUUUAAGAGUUUUUGAUAAGUUUUUUUUUCAGCAUGGACCUACUUUCAUCUUCCCCUUCAAUCAGCAACAGGCGGUGGCGGCUGCUUCUGCCUCUGUUCGACCUGGUUCUUCUAAGCUUUCUACUGGAGCACCAGGUGGUUUGGGUGGUGGUGCUUCAGGUGCCGCCAGUUCAGCCACUGUUAGCAGCUCCACAACAGCAGCUGCUCCGGCCUUGAGCUUCAAUUACCCAAACAUGGGGGCCAAUGAAACCCAGUAUCUGGCAAUUUUACAAAACAAUCCUUACUCUUUCCCGAUACCUGCAGCAGUAGGAGCCCCACCAAAUUACAGAGCCAACCCUCAUGCCCAACCCAUGCCUAUGUUCAAUGGCUCUUUCUAUCCUUCUCAAAUGAUACACCCGUCCCAGAUUCCACAACCACCGCCACCCCAACAGGCCCCACCAGCUCAACCUCAAAAUCACCACCCUUCUCAGCCACAGCAAAUCCAACAAACCCACCAGAACAGCAGCGGAUCCACCUCCUCGUCACAGAAACAUUUGCAAAAUCAGCAGCGGCAGCAGCAAGGCGGCAAUGUUGGUGGUGCUGCUGUUAAUGGCGGUGGCACUGGAAAUGGUGGUGCCAGUUUGCAUAACAGCUAUCCUUCCCAUCCUUCCCACAAAAGUCGAUCACAGUCAUCUCAGCAGCAGCAGCAGCAGCAGAAUCAGGGUCAGCACAUGAACCUGCCCCCGCAAUCACGCCACCUUGAAAAUGAGGUGGCUGGUGGUGGUGGUGAGGAUAGUCCAUCCACCGCUGAGAGUCGGGUAUCUAGGGCGGCAACCACCAUGAGUGUUUAUGGUCAUAAUUUUGCUAUGCCGGUUCACUCACAGAGUUUUGCUUUGAUGAAUCCUCAAGCUGCAGCUCUGUCUAAUGCUGCAGCUGUCAACAACUCGAAUGAUAAAAAACAGCAGCAGCAUCAGCAUCAGCAUCAGCAACAGCAAUCUCAGCAAGCGGGGUUAAAAAGAGGUGGUGUGGAGUCGUCUUUACCACCACCUCAAACUUUUGCCAUGUCUUUUGCUCCUAUGAAUGGUACCACUGGUACCAUGUCAUCCAUGGCUCAAAACCACGCCAUUUUCCAGAGUUUGCCAGAAUCAUUGAGACAAAGCUAUCAUCAGAUAAUGACAGCACCUCCAGUUGCCCAUUCUCAACAGAAGAAGGAUUUCAGAAUAUCUGAAGAAGCUACCCGGGCAGCAGGUGGUCAUGAGUCCUCUUCAAAUGCAGAUGAAGACCGAAAGGGCAGUUCGGGGUUGACCGGGAAGUCCGGGCAGUCCAUUGCGUUUUCAAGGCCAGAUCUUGCCCCAGAUGUUUCCGGUGGUUCAUCUCCAGCCAUCCCUGGGACUUCAGUGAUUGAUAGCUCUUCCAGGAACAUAAACCUGGGUUCAAAUAAUCGGUCAACCAGAUCACCCUCUGUUGCAUCUUCUCAAUCCUCCCAUCAUUUACAUGCUCAAUUCCAGCAGCAACAGCAGGUCUUUCAGCUUCAGAAGCAACAGCAGCAACAGCAGCAACAGCAACAGCAACAGAACCACAACAUGGCUGCUGCCCGAAGUAAAAACCCAAACCCAAACGCAAACCCGCCCUCAGGUAAUGGGGGUGCUGCCUACCCUGACCACCUAAUAACUUCAUCUUCAUCCAUGGCUGCCAAAUUUCCAAACUCUCUUUCUUCUUUCCCACAAAACUUAGUCCAAACCAGCAACACCAGUAGCAGCCCGGUUCAAUCCCCGCAAUGGAGAAACUCAGUAAGGGGUCCCGCCACAUCGUCUCAACCACCAACCACCUCCUCCCUCAAAAACCUCCAUCAAUCCCAACACCAACAGCCUAACCGAUCCUCCCACCCGCAAUCACACACUCAGAUUUCCUUCGGUGGUGCCGCCAGUCAGAAACUACCUUCCACCACCUCAUCACAUCAACAGAAUCCUAGUAGC